RNAcentral lists this ribosomal RNA (1346 nucleotides) under uncultured bacterium. RNAcentral describes it as "partial 16S ribosomal RNA". It matches the Rfam family "Bacterial small subunit ribosomal RNA", at positions 28 to 1381 of the family's 1533-position model. The record is from RNAcentral.
GACGAACGCUGGCGGUGUGCUUAACACAUGCAAGUCGAACGGAAAGGCCCUGCUUUUGUGGGGUGCUCGAGUGGCGAACGGGUGAGUAACACGUGAGUAACCUGCCCUUGACUUUGGGAUAACUUCAGGAAACUGGGGCUAAUACCGGAUAGGAGCUCCUGCUGCAUGGUGGGGGUUGGAAAGUUUCGGCGGUUGGGGAUGGACUCGCGGCUUAUCAGCUUGUUGGUGGGGUAGUGGCUUACCAAGGCUUUGACGGGUAGCCGGCCUGAGAGGGUGACCGGCCACAUUGGGACUGAGAUACGGCCCAGACUCCUACGGGAGGCAGCAGUGGGGAAUAUUGCACAAUGGGCGGAAGCCUGAUGCAGCAACGCCGCGUGCGGGAUGACGGCCUUCGGGUUGUAAACCGCUUUCGCCUGUGACGAAGCGUGAGUGACGGUAAUGGGUAAAGAAGCACCGGCUAACUACGUGCCAGCAGCCGCGGUGAUACGUAGGGUGCGAGCGUUGUCCGGAUUUAUUGGGCGUAAAGGGCUCGUAGGUGGUUGAUCGCGUCGGAAGUGUAAUCUUGGGGCUUAACCCUGAGCGUGCUUUCGAUACGGGUUGACUUGAGGAAGGUAGGGGAGAAUGGAAUUCCUGGUGGAGCGGUGGAAUGCGCAGAUAUCAGGAGGAACACCAGUGGCGAAGGCGGUUCUCUGGGCCUUUCCUGACGCUGAGGAGCGAAAGCGUGGGGAGCGAACAGGCUUAGAUACCCUGGUAGUCCACGCUGUAAACGGUGGGUACUAGGUGUGGGGUCCAUUCCACGGGUUCCGUGCCGUAGCUAACGCUUUAAGUACCCCGCCUGGGGAGUACGGCCGCAAGGCUAAAACUCAAAGGAAUUGACGGGGCCCCGCACAAGCGGCGGAGCAUGCGGAUUAAUUCGAUGCAACGCGUAGAACCUUACCUGGGUUUGACAUGGAUCGGGAGUGCUCAGAGAUGGGUGUGCCUCUUUUGGGGUCGGUUCACAGGUGGUGCAUGGCUGUCGUCAGCUCGUGUCGUGAGAUGUUGGGUUAAGUCCCGCAACGAGCGCAACCCCUGUUCACUGUUGCCAGCACGUUAUGGUGGGGACUCAGUGGAGACCGCCGGGGUCAACUCGGAGGAAGGUGGGGAUGACGUCAAGUCAUCAUGCCCCUUAUGUCCAGGGCUUCACGCAUGCUACAAUGGCUGGUACAGAGAGUGGCGAGCCUGUGAGGGUGAGCGAAUCUCGGAAAGCCGGUCUCAGUUCGGAUUGGGGUCUGCAACUCGACCUCAUGAAGUCGGAGUCGCUAGUAAUCGCAGAUCAGCAACGCUGCGGUGAAUACGUUCCCGGGGCU